RNAcentral lists this unclassified non-coding RNA (549 nucleotides) under Allophoma cylindrispora. Its description in RNAcentral is "sequence contains ITS1, 5.8S rRNA gene, ITS2". The stretch from base 183 to 336 matches the Rfam family "5.8S ribosomal RNA". The record is from RNAcentral. Lineage: Eukaryota; Fungi; Ascomycota; Dothideomycetes; Pleosporales; Didymellaceae.
GUAACAAGGUUUCCGUAGGUGAACCUGCGGAAGGAUCAUUACCUAGAGUUGCGGGCUUUGCCUGCCAUCUCUUACCCAUGUCUUUUGAGUACCUUCGUUUCCUCGGCGGGUCCGCCCGCCGACUGGACAAAACUUAAACCCUUUGUAAUUGAAAUCAGCGUCUGAAAAAACUUAAUAGUUACAACUUUCAACAACGGAUCUCUUGGUUCUGGCAUCGAUGAAGAACGCAGCGAAAUGCGAUAAGUAGUGUGAAUUGCAGAAUUCAGUGAAUCAUCGAAUCUUUGAACGCACAUUGCGCCCCUUGGUAUUCCAUGGGGCAUGCCUGUUCGAGCGUCAUUUGUACCUUCAAGCUCUGCUUGGUGUUGGGUGUUUGUCUCGCCUCUUUGCGCGCAGACUCGCCUCAAAGCAAUUGGCAGCCGGCGUAUUGGUUUCGGAGCGCAGUACAUCUCGCGCUUUGCACUCAUAACGACGACGUCCAAAAAGUACAUUUUUUACACUCUUGACCUCGGAUCAGGUAGGGAUACCCGCUGAACUUAAGCAUAUCAAUAA